RNAcentral lists this long non-coding RNA (238 nucleotides) under Elaeis guineensis (African oil palm). RNAcentral's name for it is "long non-coding RNA (EGUI_LNC072853)". The record is from RNAcentral. Lineage: Eukaryota; Viridiplantae; Streptophyta; Magnoliopsida; Arecales; Arecaceae.
ACCGGGACCUGCAAAGAAAGUCUAAACCAGAGUUGGAGGUGCUCCGGCAAAACCCUCCGAUGCUCAAGUCAGUUCUCUGCUUCAACAAGAAUGGAGUGCUCGAACGAAAAUUUUAGCAGAGUUUCAAGAUAGAAAUUAGAGCUUAGAGAAUAACGUAUCUGGGAUCCCCUUUUUAUAGGCGGAGGGUGCAACAGACUGACAGCGACAUUUGUAACCGCCUGGUAGUGGGCCGCUCGGG